Long non-coding RNA from Peromyscus eremicus (cactus mouse), 1705 nucleotides. RefSeq lists it as uncharacterized. The transcript is spliced from 4 exons. Lineage: Eukaryota; Metazoa; Chordata; Mammalia; Rodentia; Cricetidae. The record is from RefSeq and is a predicted model, not a curated record.
CUUCCCCCCCAGUUUCUCUUUCCUAUAUAAACCAGUCACGCGCUCUCUCAGCUCUGCCUUUGGUUCCCACGGGGCUCGCUUGGCUCACGUGACCCCUUCUUUCCUCUCUCUUCUCUUCUUCUCUCGCUCUCCCCACUCCUCUUCUCACGGAUGUUAGGGCUCCGAAACCUGGGACGAAUGGCUAACUGAGGUACCUGUUAACUUACCAAAGCAGAUGCUGGUCAGCGCUCCCAGCAUCACUCAGAACCUGUGGCUCCUCCCAGCACUUCUGACUCCACUCCCUGCCUCAAACCUCUCCCCCUUGGGGGCUGAACUUCCCCGCUUCCCCACCCCCAGCCUGAUCCCUAUAUAACUCAGACAUUUCGGCUAUGCUACCCUCUUGGCCUCUUGGCCCAAGCUAGCCAUCUUGGUCCGUGGCCUCUCUUGCUAUCUCAACCCCUCUCUCUUCUCAAGGUCUGGUUUAGUCUGAAGGACUCGUUCAGCCUGGACUCUUCCCUCUGCUUGCUUUCCCCCUUGAAUCUACAGUAAAAAUCUCCAUACUUUAGGAGUCGCUGUGUCCUCUUUUUUUUUCAUUCGAUGGCCAGGUACGUUCUGCUGGUCCAGUUCAGUCUGGAUCCUUUCAGAUGCCUCUGGCUGUUCUCUCCCUCAUAUCUACAAUAAAACCCUUCUCCUCAAACAUGACCUAGGAGUAGCCAUGUCCUCAUUUUCAUUCAGUCCUCCCACCCCCACCAGUGCAGGGAUUAUAGGUGUGAGCCGCCAUGACAGACUAGGAACAGGCCUUUCAUGCUACAGUCGCUCCCUCCCACCCCGUAUCCCAGGAGCUACCAUUACUAGUCACUCUACUCAUUAGAAAUGCUUUUGGCUGUUAGUAAUGAACAGCAUAUCCAGUGCAUCGUGGUUUAAGCAUAGAGCUAUGUUUCUUACCUUGUGAGUAAUGAAGAGGUCUGAAGCCCGGGGCUGGAGCUGCAACUCAAAAAGGGGCCCAAGCUGCUUCUAUUUUUCUAUGGCCUUAUCCUUCUUGUCACUUCGUGACCUUGAGAUUUACUUGUAAGAAUCCAGUCCACCAACAGGUCAAAACGUCGGAGGAAAGUGUGUACUGAUCAAGCCUGUCCUGUUUGUGAGGGUGAAGGCCUUCCCAGAGUCCUCAGCCAGCAAUCAACUCCUUACAACUCAGCUACUAAAGGAAGGUGUCACAGUGCCGAGGAGACUCUGCAUGGCCUAUACAGUCUUCAUCUUCCUCCAAGGCUCUCUGGCAGAAACAUCCCAUGAGAUCAACCCCUGUUUUCUGCCACACACAGAACUCUUCAGUCUGCUGUGGUUAACUAUGUGUGUUGUCUCCUCAUGUGUGCUUCAGUGUCCGGGAGGACCAGGAAUGUGACCCAUUCAUCUUUGUGUUUAGAAAGCAACUCAGCACAGGGUUGUGCGGAAUUCCAAGCUACCAAAAUUGAGAAAGUUGGUACCAAAGUUGGCCAGUUCUGGUAAUCCAGCUAUCCAAGGCUACCAAACACACAAAGAAGAAGGACGUUCAAUCCAGGGCAACAGGACGGGCUCAAAGUCACUUCUGGGAUGACCAGCAUAUUCUACAAUGCCAGCUUUAUGCAAGGCUGGGGGAAUCAGUGUAUCAACUGAACACAUCCCAACCAGACUCAAGAAUCUCUAAUGUAAAGAGACUGACAUUUAAUUCAAAUGCAACCAAGGAAGCCAA